Molecule: ribosomal RNA, 999 nt
Filed under: Pseudogymnoascus sp.
Lineage: Eukaryota; Fungi; Ascomycota; Leotiomycetes; Thelebolales; Thelebolaceae
Description: partial large subunit ribosomal RNA
Rfam family: Eukaryotic large subunit ribosomal RNA
Source: RNAcentral
GGCGGGGAGAACCAACAGGGAUUACCUCAGUAACGGCGAGUGAAGCGGUAACAGCUCAAAUUUGAAAUCUGGCCUCACGGUCCGAGUUGUAAUUUGUAGAGGAUGCUUCGAGCAUGGUCUGGCCUAAGUUCCUUGGAACAGGACGUCAUAGAGGGUGAGAAUCCCGUAUGCGGCCAGGUGCCUACGCUCAUGUGAAGCUCCUUCGACGAGUCGAGUUGUUUGGGAAUGCAGCUCAAAAUGGGUGGUAAAUUUCAUCUAAAGCUAAAUAUUGGCCAGAGACCGAUAGCGCACAAGUAGAGUGAUCGAAAGAUGAAAAGCACUUUGGAAAGAGAGUUAAACAGUACGUGAAAUUGUUGAAAGGGAAGCGCUUGCAACCAGACUUGCGCGCGGCCGAUCAUCCGGUGUUCUCACCGGUGCACUCGGCCGUGCUCAGGCCAGCAUCGGUUUUGGCGGCUGGAUAAAGGCCCUAGGAAUGUAGCUCCUCUCGGGGAGUGUUAUAGCCUAGGGUGCAAUGCAGCCUGCUGGGACCGAGGACCGCGCUUCGGCUAGGAUGCUGGCGUAAUGGUUGUAAGCGGCCCGUCUUGAAACACGGACCAAGGAGUCUAACAUCUAUGCGAGUGUUUGGGUGUCAAACCCAUACGCGUAAUGAAAGUGAACGGAGGUGAGAACCCUUAAGGGUGCAUCAUCGACCGGUCCUGAAGUUUACGGAAGGAUCUGAGUAAGAGCAUAGCUGUUGGGACCCGAAAGAUGGUGAACUAUGCCUGAAUAGGGUGAAGCCAGAGGAAACUCUGGUGGAGGCUCGCAGCGGUUCUGACGUGCAAAUCGAUCGUCAAAUUUGGGUAUAGGGGCGAAAGACUAAUCGAACCAUUGACCUGUAGGAACACUACUAGGUGGUUAAGAGGCGGCUAAAAGUGCCGUCUAGUCCCGACGCCGGGGCGACACUGUCAAUUGCGGGACAUCCUUAGAGCUAGACUACCGCAGCUUCCUGAAAGGGGGUGC